Molecule: small nuclear RNA, 107 nt
Organism: Mesocricetus auratus (golden hamster)
Lineage: Eukaryota; Metazoa; Chordata; Mammalia; Rodentia; Cricetidae
Source: Ensembl
GUGCUCUCUUCGGCAGCACAUAUACUAAAACUGGAAAGAUACAGAGAAGAUUAGCAUGGCCCCUGCCCAAGAAUGACAUGCAAAUUCGCGAAGCGUUCCAUAUUUUU